AUGCCGUUGCGCUACGCUAGAGGGCGGGAGAAGGCGGAGAGAAAACCAAGGAGUGAACGGGAUUCGGGCGGCCCAAUGAGGAGGGCCGGGGGGCGGAGGUGUGCAAGUUGGGUUGAAGGAACAGGAAAUAUUCUUAAAGGUGUCCUCUACCUAGUUGUGGUUGUAGAUUUCCAGGCCUUUCCACAACCAGAUUUGGAAAUAUCCCAGAUCUUAGACGUCCAUGGGCUAACUUCCAGAUCAGAUGAUAAUGAUGAUGAGGAGAAAGAUAUUGAUUUUUUUUGAAGAUAUUGAUUCUGAUGAGGAUGAAAUCAUACUGUUUGGAGGUAAAAAAUGUAAGUCAGGUAAAAUUUCCAGAAAUCUGAAAUACAAAGACUUUUUUGAUCCAGUUGAAAGUGAUGAAGACAUAAUAAAGUGUUCAUUAUGAUGAGCUAGAUUCAAAGAAAGAAGAUGAUGAAAUUGCUGAAGAAGCACCAGAACUAAGUAUUUCGGAAACGGAUGAAGAUGAUGACCUUGAAGAAAGUGAAGACAGUAAACAACAUAAAGAAAGCUUGAAAAGAGUGACCUUUGCUUUGCCAGAUGACGAGAAAACUGAAGAUACAGGUGUUUUAAAUGAAAGAAAAAUUCUGAUGAAGUUAAAUCCUCUUUUGAAAAAAGACAGGAAAAGAUGAAUGAAAAAAUUGCAUCUUUAGAAAAAGAGUUGUUAGAAAAAAAGCCUUGGCAGCUCCAGAGGUAAGUGACAGCACCAAAGAGGCCAGAGAACAGCCUCCUGGAGGAGACCCUGCACUUUGACCAUGCUAUCCGGAUGGCACCUGUGAUUACAGAGGAAACCACCCUUAAACUGGAAGAUAUAAUUAAACAGAGGAUAAGAGAUCAGGCUUGGGAUGACAUAGUACGUAAAGAAAAACCUAAAGAGGAUGCAUGAGAACAUAAAAAGCGUUUACCCUUAGACCAUGGGAAGAGUAAAUUGAGCCUUGCUGAAAUUUAUGAACAGGAGUACAUCAAACUCAACCAGCAAAAAACAGCAGAAGAAGAAAAUCCAGAGCAUGUAGAAAUUCAGAAGAUGAUGGAUUCCCUCUUCUUAAGAUUGGAUGCCCUCUCAAACUUCCACUUUAUCCCUAAACCCCCUGUACCAGAGAUUAAAGUUGUGUCAAAUCUGCCAGCCAUAACCAUGGAGGAAGUAGCCCCAGUGAGUGUUAGUGACGCAGCUCUCCUGGCCCCAGAGGAGAUCAAGGAGAAAAAUAAAGCUGGAGAUGUAAAAACAGCUGUUGAAAAAACAGCUACAGACGAGAAAUGAGAGCGGAGGAAAAAGAAAUCUCAAAAGCGUAUGAAAAUGAAGGAGAAGGAGAAGCGGAGAAAACUGCUUGAAAAGAGCAGCCUAGAUCAAGCAGGGAAAUACAGCAAAGCAGUAGCUUCAGAAAAGUUAAAACAGCUCACAAAAACUGGCAAAGCUUCCUUCAUAAAGGAUGAAGGUGAAGACAAAGCCUUAAAGUCCUCUCAAGCAUUCUUUUUUAAAUUACAAGAUCAAGUAAAAAUGCAAAUCAAUGAUGCAAAGAAAACAGAAAAGAAAAAGAAGACAAGACAGGAUAUUUCUGAUCUUAAAUUAAAGCUGUAA
Cebus imitator (Panamanian white-faced capuchin) is the source of this 1612-nucleotide RNA transcript. It is a transcript of the gene named U3 small nucleolar ribonucleoprotein protein MPP10-like, with no coding region annotated. NCBI's taxonomy places the organism in Eukaryota, Metazoa, Chordata, Mammalia, Primates, Cebidae. The record is from RefSeq and is a predicted model, not a curated record. The transcript is spliced from 3 exons.